UACGAAGGGGGCUAGCGUUGUUCGGAAUCACUGGGCGUAAAGGGCGCGUAGGCGGCUUUAUAAGUCGGGGGUGAAAGCCUGUGGCUCAACCACAGAAUUGCCUUCGAUACUGUAGAGCUUGAGACCGGAAGAGGUUAGUGGAACUGCGAGUGUAGAGGUGAAAUUCGUAGAUAUUCGCAAGAACACCGGUGGCGAAGGCGGUCUGCUGGGCGAGUAGCUGGACA
Molecule: ribosomal RNA, 224 nt
Filed under: uncultured bacterium
Lineage: Bacteria
Description: partial 16S ribosomal RNA
Rfam family: Bacterial small subunit ribosomal RNA
Source: RNAcentral